RNAcentral lists this ribosomal RNA (778 nucleotides) under uncultured fungus. RNAcentral describes it as "SSU rRNA". It matches the Rfam family "Eukaryotic small subunit ribosomal RNA", at positions 404 to 1188 of the family's 1831-position model. Lineage: Eukaryota; Fungi. The record is from RNAcentral.
CGGCUACCACAUCCAAGGAAGGCAGCAGGCGCGCAAAUUGCCCAAUCCCGAUACGGGGAGGUAGUGACAAUAAAUACUGAUACGGGGCUCUUUUGGGUCUCGUAAUUGGAAUGAGAACAAUUUAAAUCCCUUAACGAGGAACAAUUGGAGGGCAAGUCUGGUGCCAGCAGCCGCGGUAAUUCCAGCUCCAAUAGCGUAUAUUAAAGUUGUUGCAGUUAAAAAGCUCGUAGUUGAACCUUGGGUCUGGCUGGCCGGUCCGCCUCACCGCGAGUACUGGUCCGGCUGGACCUUUCCUUCUGGGGAACCCCAUGGCCUUCACUGGCUGUGGGGGGAACCAGGACUUUUACUGUGAAAAAAUUAGAGUGUUCAAAGCAGGCCUUUGCUCGAAUACAUUAGCAUGGAAUAAUAGAAUAGGACGUGUGGUUCUAUUUUGUUGGUUUCUAGGACCGCCGUAAUGAUUAAUAGGGGUAGUCGGGGGCGUCAGUAUUCAGCUGUCAGAGGUGAAAUUCUUGGAUUUGCUGAAGACUAACUACUGCGAAAGCAUUCGCCAAGGAUGUUUUCAUUAAUCAGGGAACGAAAGUUAGGGGAUCGAAGACGAUCAGAUACCGUCGUAGUCUUAACCAUAAACUAUGCCGACUAGGGAUCGGACGGGAUUCUAUAAUGACCCGUUCGGCACCUUACGAGAGAUCAAAGUUUUUGGGUUCUGGGGGGAGUAUGGUCGCAAGGCUGAAACUUAAAGAAAUUGACGGAAGGGCACCACAAGGCGUGGAGCCUGCGG